AUACGGAGGAUGAAGGCGUUAUCCGGAUUUAUUGGGUUUAAAGGGUGCGUAGGCUGUUCGGAAAGUCAGGGGUGAAAGCCCGGAGACUACCGCCGGAACUGCCUUUGAUCCUUCCGCGCUGGACUCGGGAUGCCGCGGGAGGCAUGGGUAGUUUAGCGGGGAAAUGCAUAGAUAUUACUCAGAACACCGAAUGCGCAGGCAUCUCACGAAUCCGUCAUUGACGCUGAGGCACGAAAGCGUGGGGAUCAAACAGGAUUAGAUACCCUGGUAGUCCACGCUGUAAACUAUGAUAACUAUCUUUUAGCGAUACACAGUUAGAGGGUACGAGAAAUCAUUAAGUUAUCCACCUGGGGAUUACGUUCGCAAGAAUGAAACUCAAAGGAAUUGGCGGGG
RNAcentral lists this ribosomal RNA (393 nucleotides) under uncultured bacterium. Its description in RNAcentral is "partial 16S ribosomal RNA". It matches the Rfam family "Bacterial small subunit ribosomal RNA", at positions 523 to 918 of the family's 1533-position model. The record is from RNAcentral.